Gasterosteus aculeatus aculeatus (three-spined stickleback) is the source of this 1415-nucleotide long non-coding RNA. NCBI's taxonomy places the organism in Eukaryota, Metazoa, Chordata, Actinopteri, Perciformes, Gasterosteidae. The record is from Ensembl.
CAGUGCUUGUCAUCAUGGUAUCACCCUCACCACUGAAACAAGAGUAGGCCAAUCCCCUUUAACGUCUCUUCUUGUCUGUAUUCCGGGAUUAACUCGGGAGUGGAUUUCUUAAACCGCGCAGAGGGGCAUCGUGGCUAUCACCUGUCCUCCGAGGGGUUGAAAUUGCUCACAUUUUCCACAGCAGGUGAAUUAUCGCUGUCAAUGAGUUGCUAGCAAUGCGGGUGGCUAACGUUGCAUAGGUCAGGUGGAAGGAUCACACAAGGAAGCAAUCAGGCAGUGCUGCUUCCCCGGUUAACUCCAUCAAGUGUAACUGCAGACAGCUAUUUCGUUACGGCCUCGCCGUGUACUGCAGCGUCCGAAGGAAACGACACACUGCUAAAUGGGAUGCGGUCUAAUACCUGAGAGAAACACACACAGUGACCCUGGGCUGCUGCACGGUUAGCUUAGCCGCACUACCUAGCCAAGGAUGGAGAGGCGAAGGGGGGGAAGUUAGCCCGUUAACGUUACCUUAUUUAUUCCAGACAGUGCGGCUCUUUCGCUCGUGACGUCCGAGCGACACGGCCGCCGUUAAGUACACAGGGGUCUUCUUUAAAAGAAUAAAAAAACAAACAGUUCAGCCGCCGCGGUAGCUUAAAGAACAAAACAGUGUUUGUGGUGUGAAACGGCGUUAUUACGAACGGAGGCUGGUUGACUAAAUCUGUAUCUUGUAGUCUCUUGUGUGCUGUGUGUUGGAGCGAGUCCAUGGGCUAAACCAUUUGCUCUGUGAGAAGGGGGGGGGGGCGCUGAAUGAAGUGCUGAAGUUUGCAUUCUCAAUCUGGUUCAAACGUAACGUUUGCUGUGCUGUCAGGUAGUACGUGUGUAGUUAUAUAAAUUAUAUUGUUUUCGUUUGAACUAGAAGUGAAUGACAGCAUAAGUCUCACCAAAGCUGUAAGAGCAUCUCAGGAAGAUCAAGAUCGGUAUGUUUAACAAGUUCUACAUAUUGUUACAUAACGCUGAGUUGUUGUGGUAAAACUAUGGAGUUAAACAUUUACAUAUAACAAACAUUUGACCUCAAAUGUAAGCUUUUACUACUUAAGGGUUUACCGUGAUCACUGAUGGAUCUUAUGGGAAGGAUUCCCUCCUAAUUUUGGUUAAUGUCCUCCACUAAUGUUUACUCCGAAGAGGAAGAACUGACUUCUGCGUCCAUAUUGAAAUGGACAUUUUUACUUUCUAGGUAAUAAGCUUCAAGUCAGUCAGGAGAAUUGUUGUGUUUAAUUAUUUAUUUUCUAUUCAUUUUCAUUAUGCAACAAUUACUUUUAUAGGAACUGAGAGAGGACAGUUGACAGUUCACUAUGUAAAGGAAGGGAUGCAUUUUUAUUACAUAUCACUUAUACAUACAUACAUUUUCAUUUGGGUUACCAAAAAUGUAUUAUGAG